Molecule: ribosomal RNA, 497 nt
Filed under: uncultured bacterium
Lineage: Bacteria
Description: partial 16S ribosomal RNA
Rfam family: Bacterial small subunit ribosomal RNA
Source: RNAcentral
GACGAACGCUGGCGGCGUGCCUAAUACAUGCAAGUAGAACGCUGAAGAGAGGAGCUUCCUCUUCUUGGAUGAGUUGCGAACGGGUGAGUAACGCGUAGGUAACCUGCCUUGUAGCGGGGGAUAACUAUUGGAAACGAUAGCUAAUACCGCAUAACAAUGGAUGACACAUGUCAUUUAUUUGAAAGGGGCAAUUGCUCCACUACAAGAUGGACCUGCGUUGUAUUAGCUAGUAGGUGAGGUAAUGGCUCACCUAGGCGACGAUACAUAGCCGACCUGAGAGGGUGAUCGGCCACACUGGGACUGAGACACGGCCCAGACUCCUACGGGAGGCAGCAGUAGGGAAUCUUCGGCAAUGGGGGCAACCCCGACCGAGCAACGCCGCGUGAGUGAAGAAGGUUUUCGGAUCGUAAAGCUCUGUUGUAAGUCAAGAACGGGUGUGAGAGUGGAAAGUUCACACUGUGACGGUAGCUGACCAGAAAGGGACGGCUAACUACGUG